Molecule: unclassified non-coding RNA, 255 nt
Filed under: Hevea brasiliensis (rubber tree)
Lineage: Eukaryota; Viridiplantae; Streptophyta; Magnoliopsida; Malpighiales; Euphorbiaceae
Source: RNAcentral
CAGUUAAGGCACUCAAUUGCACAAAAAAAGUGUUCACGCUCAAAAUGUCAUUGAAAAUUAGUUUAGACACUGCCUGUCUAUAUAACAUUUUGCAAUUUAUUUGCUUUAGCAGGCUAAAUUCUGUAAGAAUGGUACGUUAAUUUCUUAAUAUUUGCGGAUCUAUUUGUUUACCACUUCCCAGCAAGAGACUUCGUCUAGACACUCAUUCUUAGGGCCCUAUGGUCUUUGGGGCCAAUGGCAAGGAUGUGCUGAGAU